UAGCUCAGUCGGUAGAGGAUGUGCCUGCAGUGCAGAAGACCCAGGUUCGAUUCCUGG
This 57-nucleotide transfer RNA is filed under the name Bos taurus (domestic cattle). It matches the Rfam family "tRNA", at positions 8 to 63 of the family's 71-position model. From Rfam's summary of the family: Transfer RNA (tRNA) molecules are approximately 80 nucleotides in length. Lineage: Eukaryota; Metazoa; Chordata; Mammalia; Artiodactyla; Bovidae. RNAcentral also lists the same sequence under 5 other names. The record is from Rfam by way of RNAcentral.